GCUUCACAGAUUCCUUUUGUGAAGAAGGGUUUAUCUCUCUAUAAGGACCGGUUUAUGGCAUCACUGCCUUCUUCAAGGCAGGCGAGUGCAGACUUCACCAGACCAGUGUUCACUGCUGUGGCAUUUUACUUAUGUGCAACAAAACAUAAGCUGAAGAUUGACAAGGAUAGGUUGAUUGA
Hibiscus syriacus is the source of this 179-nucleotide long non-coding RNA. RefSeq lists it as uncharacterized. The transcript is spliced from 3 exons. The record is from RefSeq and is a predicted model, not a curated record. NCBI's taxonomy places the organism in Eukaryota, Viridiplantae, Streptophyta, Magnoliopsida, Malvales, Malvaceae.